AGGGACUUCUUCACCUUCAAACGCCCCAAGCCGAGCCAACCAAGGCAACACAAGCUAUAAGCAGAGUAGCCUCGCAACAUGUGCUAUUUCUGGUUGAGCAUCAUUUCAGAUUGGGCACCGCCUCAUAUCGAGUAUUAGUCCUAGAUGACAUCUAGUUACUUCGGCCUACACAUGGACUGAAUUUCAAGUCUCCAGCCAAAAGAUUCUCUUGACUGAAGACUUGGGGGACUACUGUUUAUAUCAUACUUAGGGCCCCGUAUUUAGACCUCGUAUAAAUACUCGGAGGACUCAAAUGUAAUUAUGUAAUAAAUGAAUGGGCAAAUAUGUAAUAAGUGAGGAGCCCUUAUUCUAUAAAAUGACUCAUCACUCUCCUCAUUAGGGAGGCCAAUUCUUAAGCCUGACCAUCACCCUCUCAAACCCUCAAUCUCAGAGGCUCUUUCCCUCACAAUCCUCUUAGAGAAAUACAAUAUCAGUGUGGACGUAGCCCAAACAUUGGGGUGGACCACGAUACAUCUUGUGUUCUUUACUUUCCUACACAUUCACAGUCGGAUUUACGUUGUUCCAAGACCCCUCCGGUUUUGUGCAUCAACAACAUUAUGUACCAUAUAUAUUAGGCCUCAACUGGGCCUCAUAAAAAAUACUUAGGGGACUUAACCCAUUAUUCAUGUACUGAGGAGCGAGCUCUUAUUUUAUAAAAAAGACUCCCUCACCAUCAUUAGAGGAGCAUCGCCGCCUACUAAGCAACCAACUCACCGCGAGCAUCACUCCUAACCCAUUAUUCAUGUACUGAGAAGCGAGCCCUU
RNAcentral lists this long non-coding RNA (803 nucleotides) under Malus domestica (apple). RNAcentral describes it as "long non-coding RNA (MDOM_LNC013707)". The record is from RNAcentral. Lineage: Eukaryota; Viridiplantae; Streptophyta; Magnoliopsida; Rosales; Rosaceae.